CCCAGUUUAAUAUAUAUAUAAAUAAAUAAAAAGCUUUGAUCUUUUAAAGGCAACUCAGCAGUAUGUGAAGAUGAGCCGAUGGAUAUUCAGAGGAAAUUUGACACUGUUCCACUAUAAUUCAGCGCGUCAUGCUUGCGUAAUGAGCUGGAGGAACUGAGCUACGUGCACAGGAACUGCAAAGUUCCCGAUUCUGGACGCGAUCAUGCAGCUGCUGCUUUCACUUUUCAUUCGCCUUUUAACUCAAAAUACGGACCAAAACUCAACAAUAACAGAGCGACAAGAUGCAAGGCGCAAAACCAGAGGCCAGACAAGGACAGAGUCGCCUCUUUGGCUGAUAGCUGUGGAUCAGUCGAGCCGAUGGCCUUUAAUGGUGCCCACAUCUCCUCCUCCUGUGACCCAAAAGCACUAACGAUUUAAAUAUAGGAUCGACCUACAGCUCACGUGUGUCUCAGAUGUUGCGCUUUCAUUUUUCAUACUGUUAUUGCACAGUCUUGACUACAUAUUAUAUAGGAAUGAAGCCCAUAUUUCCCCUAGGGAUCAUCUUCCAGCUGUAAAUAUGCUAGCUAGGGGAUGCUCGUAAAAGCCUCAAUUCUAACAUGUUAUAUAACUGUGUAUUAAUGAUAUCGUGGUUGUGUGAUUGCGCUCUAACUCCCUCACGCUCUGUCGGUGUAUAACAGUCACAUUAAUGAGACACCACUGCAGCGUUAAAUGCAUUUGGUUUUGCAGUGGAGACGUUUACACGGUUCCAGUUGUUGAGUGAGUCACCCUGUCCCCUCUCAGGGUCCCGCAAGUCCUCACCCGGCUCUCCGAAUUCACCAAAGACCCAAGCCUGCGACGCAAAUCCUGUCCCUCCUGGAGCCAACAUCCUUCCGCUCCAUGCAGCGGAAAUCGCUCCGGCGUGACCUGCCACUCGCAGCCACUCGCACUUCCUGAAUGUUUCCUGGAAAACUGGUCAGGCUCUGUCCCCUGAGUUCAGCACAGGACAUUCUGUUUUGCUGCUUUUUAAUCUAGCGACUCAUAACCUGUCGGUUGGAGGCCAGCGGUAAAGCGUUCAGGCCAGCGUAAACGCCGGCGCUAAUGCGAACUGCUGGUUCUAACCUGGGGCUGAAUGAACAAUGGAGUUCAUGCCUGAAGUGGGCAAAAUGUAGUCUGGAAGAAGAGCUGGGCUGCCUGGGAUGUAGGAAGUUGAUUGGAGUGCACCAUCAUCUAUCUUUUUCUCUGCAAUUGGAGGGUUUUUUUUUUUUUGGUUUAAAAUGAAAUUAUGGAUUCAUUCCUCUUCAAUAAAUAAUACAUUCUAGAGAACAUGAGAGCUCUUGUGUCUUGAUUGUGCCACAGAGGAGAUGAUGGCGCUCCUAUAGCAGAGGCAUCCAUCAUCAUAAUGA
Molecule: long non-coding RNA, 1382 nt
Organism: Takifugu rubripes (torafugu)
Lineage: Eukaryota; Metazoa; Chordata; Actinopteri; Tetraodontiformes; Tetraodontidae
Source: Ensembl